AUACGGAGGGGGCUAGCGUUGUACGGAAUUACUGGGCGUAAAGGGCGCGUAGGCGGCCCAUAAAGUCAGACGUGAAAGCCCCGGGCUCAACCUGGGAACUGCGCUUGAUACGUGUGGGCUAGAGUCCGGGAGAGGAUGGUGGAAUUCCCAGUGUAGAGGUGAAAUUCGUAGAUAUUGGGAAGAACACCGGUGGCGAAGGCGGCCAUCUGGACCGGUACUGACGCUAAGGCGCGAAAGCGUGGGGAGCAAACAGGAUUAGAUACCCCAGUAGUCC
This 274-nucleotide ribosomal RNA is filed under the name uncultured bacterium. RNAcentral's name for it is "partial 16S ribosomal RNA". It matches the Rfam family "Bacterial small subunit ribosomal RNA", at positions 523 to 796 of the family's 1533-position model. The record is from RNAcentral.